AUAUCAGUCAUGCAUAGCAUAUCAAUAAGCGGAGGAAAAGAAACUAACAAGGAUUCCCCUAGUAACGGCGAGUGAAGCGGGAAGAGCUCAAAUUUGAAAUCUUAAAGGGUUUCCCUUUACGAAUUGUAGUUUAAAGAAGUGUUUUCUGUUGAGGUUUUGGUAAAAGUUCUUUGGAAUAGGACAUCAUAGAGGGUGAGAAUCCCGUAUUUGACCUUUACUUUCAACUUUGUGAUACACUUUCAAAGAGUCGGAUUGUUUGGGAAUGCAGUCCAAAAUGGGUGGUAAAUUUCAUCUAAAGCUAAAUAUUGGCGAGAGACCGAUAGCGAACAAGUACCGUGAGGGAAAGAUGAAAAGAACUUUGAAAAGAGAGUUAAACAGUACGUGAAAUUGUCAAAAGGGAAGCGUUUGACACCAGUGUUGUUUUUCUGAAAAUCAAUUAAAGAACUGUUUAUGCUAAGUUGUUUAGACUUUAUCAGCUAACUGUUUAGUUUUGAGCUUUUCUUUAAUGCACUUUUCAGUUAACAAGUCAACAUCAAUUUCUUUUGCUGUAAAAAAGCUUGAGGAAGGUGGCUUGAGAUUCGUCUUAAGUGUUUAUAGCCUCUUGCCUAUGCAGUCGGAGAGAUUGAGGUCUGCAGCGUAGAUCCUUCGGGGUUAGAUACAUUUGUGCUAAGUUAUAGCAUUUUAUAGACAACUUGUUGACUAUGAUUUGUCUUGUAGCUUACUCGCUUAUGUUAUUUUACCUACGCUUAGGAUGUUGACGCGCGUGUGUGCGUG
Molecule: ribosomal RNA, 774 nt
Filed under: uncultured Neocallimastigales
Lineage: Eukaryota; Fungi; Neocallimastigomycota; Neocallimastigomycetes; Neocallimastigales
Description: partial large subunit ribosomal RNA
Rfam family: Eukaryotic large subunit ribosomal RNA
Source: RNAcentral